RNAcentral lists this long non-coding RNA (670 nucleotides) under Coturnix japonica (Japanese quail). RNAcentral's name for it is "lncRNA (ENSCJPG00005008641.1)". Lineage: Eukaryota; Metazoa; Chordata; Aves; Galliformes; Phasianidae. The record is from RNAcentral.
AUCAGUACAGUUACCACCUAGGGAUUUGGACUUGUGCUUCUUUCUUUCUCAUUCAUUUACCAUUUGGGGUGUUAUAUAUUCAUCUUUCAUUUAUUGUUGGUCUCUGCAGCUCCCUUACAACACUGCCAAUCCAGAGCCACAAAUGUUGAUUCCAGCCACCUGAUAGUGUUUAAUUUUGGCUGAAGUGAUAACCAUUUGGAUUAGGAUUUUCUCACCUUUAUGUCUUGUAGGUGGUGACUCUCCCCUUGGUUAAGAGCCCUUUUUCUUCCUUCUGAAGAAUGAAAGAGAAUUGGUGAUGAAACCUUUCCUUUUCUUGGAAGAGAUCCUGCAGUAUGACAGGAAUGCAACAGUAGGAUGUGAUGAUGAGAGAGAAUUUCUCAACAGGAUUCUAAAGGAUCACAGUAGCUCAAAGGAGUCACACCACUGCAAUGGAGAGGGGAUCUUAAACUGUGCUCUCCUGGGCUCCAUACUCCUACUACACUCUAUUCAGUUCAAGUGGUUUUGUGUCUUGCCUGAAAUCCUGUGGAAAGUUGCCUGCACUCCAGGCCAGACCAGGCAAUGCUCCUUCAGGACGUUGGGUGUGAAAGGCUCGUUUGAGGAUGCCAAUUGGAAGAACUGUCAAUGAGACAUUUGUUCAUGAGCUAUAUUAAAUGGCUGCAAUAAAAUAACU